RNAcentral lists this long non-coding RNA (440 nucleotides) under Homo sapiens (human). RNAcentral describes it as "non-protein coding lnc-SLC10A6-2:8". The record is from RNAcentral. Lineage: Eukaryota; Metazoa; Chordata; Mammalia; Primates; Hominidae.
GGAGUCCUUGCCAGAGCCAUCAGAGACAGCAGGCGAAAGCAGGCUCACUGAAUCCAUAUUGUGUUUCCUCUCUCGGUUCUCCUGGGUUCCACUGUCAGUUCUCCAAACGUGGAAAAAAACUGCUCCAUUUCUUUCUGUAGCAUGUCAUUUCUUUUCUCGGCAUCUUCUUUUGCUCGCUCGGCAUUUCGCAUUUUUAUUUCUAUCAUUGUGAACUUUUUCCUCUCCUGAUCCAGUUCAUCAUGGAGGCUCAUCAUUUCUGUUUCCAAAGUCAAGUUUCGCUGUUCUAAGCUACAAAGGAUGUUGGGGGGGGUGGGGGGUGGGGACGCAAGAGUAAGAGAUAAAGUGAUUUUAUUCACUUGAAAUGCAAGAGACAUACAAAUAUUUUCUAAACUCUUUAUGAUGCUUAGGAAAUUGGAAUAAAGCCCUUUCAAUGAUUUAAA